GAUGAACGCUGGCGGCGUGCCUAAUACAUGCAAGUCGAGCGAACGGACGAGAAGCUUGCUUCUCUGAUGUUAGCGGCGGACGGGUGAGUAACACGUGGAUAACCUACCUAUAAGACUGGGAUAACUUCGGGAAACCGGAGCUAAUACCGGAUAAUAUUUUGAACCGCAUGGUUCAAAAGUGAAAGACGGUCUUGCUGUCACUUAUAGAUGGAUCCGCGCUGCAUUAGCUAGUUGGUAAGGUAACGGCUUACCAAGGCAACGAUGCAUAGCCGACCUGAGAGGGUGAUCGGCCACACUGGAACUGAGACACGGUCCAGACUCCUACGGGAGGCAGCAGUAGGGAAUCUCCCGCAAUGGGCGAAAGCCUGACGGAGCAACGCCGCGUGAGUGAUGAAGGUCUUCGGAUCGUAAAACUCUGUUAUUAGGGAAGAACAUAUGUGUAAGUAACUGUGCACAUCUUGACGGUACCUAAUCAGAAAGCCACGGCUAACUACGUGCCAGCAGCCGCGGUAAUACGUAGGUGGCAAGCGUUAUCCGGAAUUAUUGGGCGUAAAGCGCGCGUAGGCGGUUUUUUAAGUCUGAUGUGAAAGCCCACGGCUCAACCGUGGAGGGUCAUUGGAAACUGGAAAACUUGAGUGCAGAAGAGGAAAGUGGAAUUCCAUGUGUAGCGGUGAAAUGCGCAGAGAUAUGGAGGAACACCAGUGGCGAAGGCGACUUUCUGGUCUGUAACUGACGCUGAUGUGCGAAAGCGUGGGGAUCAAACAGGAUUAGAUACCCUGGUAGUCCACGCCGUAAACGAUGAGUGCUAAGUGUUAGGGGGUUUCCGCCCCUUAGUGCUGCAGCUAACGCAUUAAGCACUCCGCCUGGGGAGUACGACCGCAAGGUUGAAACUCAAAGGAAUUGACGGGGACCCGCACAAGCGGUGGAGCAUGUGGUUUAAUUCGAAGCAACGCGAAGAACCUUACCAAAUCUUGACAUCCUUUGACAACUCUAGAGAUAGAGCUUUCCCCUUCGGGGGACAAAGUGACAGGUGGUGCAUGGUUGUCGUCAGCUCGUGUCGUGAGAUGUUGGGUUAAGUCCCGCAACGAGCGCAACCCUUAAGCUUAGUUGCCAUCAUUAAGUUGGGCACUCUAAGUUGACUGCCGGUGACAAACCGGAGGAAGGUGGGGAUGACGUCAAAUCAUCAUGCCCCUUAUGAUUUGGGCUACACACGUGCUACAAUGGACAAUACAAAGGGCAGCGAAACCGCGAGGUCAAGCAAAUCCCAUAAAGUUGUUCUCAGUUCGGAUUGUAGUCUGCAACUCGACUACAUGAAGCUGGAAUCGCUAGUAAUCGUAGAUCAGCAUGCUACGGUGAAUACGUUCCCGGGUCU
RNAcentral lists this ribosomal RNA (1372 nucleotides) under uncultured bacterium. RNAcentral describes it as "bacterial SSU rRNA". It matches the Rfam family "Bacterial small subunit ribosomal RNA", at positions 28 to 1381 of the family's 1533-position model. The record is from RNAcentral.